RNAcentral lists this non-coding RNA (24 nucleotides) under Arabidopsis thaliana (thale cress). Lineage: Eukaryota; Viridiplantae; Streptophyta; Magnoliopsida; Brassicales; Brassicaceae. The record is from RNAcentral.
ACAGCCCUCUCGUGUACCGAUGAC